RNAcentral lists this long non-coding RNA (403 nucleotides) under Vigna radiata. Its description in RNAcentral is "long non-coding RNA (VRAD_LNC013513)". The record is from RNAcentral. Lineage: Eukaryota; Viridiplantae; Streptophyta; Magnoliopsida; Fabales; Fabaceae.
AAGUGGAAAAAUGAGAAGGGUUUAGAGGAGAAUGGGAUAAUUGUAUGGACAAGUCAUUCCUCAUAAUCCUCAAAGGAGAUGUGAUAUGAGAAUGUUAGGGUGAACACAAGAUACACAAAGGGUGCCCCAGCUUGAUGUUAUGGAAAAUGAGCCGGGGUUUGGAUUCAUGAAAGUUAGGGUGAGAAAAUUUCAAAUGAGAUUUGCAAAGUUGCCCCAGUCUUGAGGUUAUGGAUUGAUGAAAAACUUGUGUGAGACUCACAAAGCCGUCCAAUUUUUUUGUUUGCCUUUUUCUUUGUUUAUUGUGGUAUGGGUUGAUGAAAAACUCGAGUGAGACUCACAAAGUUGUCUUGGUUUUUUUUCUUUGGCAAGGGGUUCCAUUUGGAAGAGGUAUUGGACAUGAAAA